This 2223-nucleotide long non-coding RNA is filed under the name Nicotiana benthamiana. RNAcentral describes it as "long non-coding RNA (NBEN_LNC006553)". Lineage: Eukaryota; Viridiplantae; Streptophyta; Magnoliopsida; Solanales; Solanaceae. The record is from RNAcentral.
AGAAAAACCAUUAAUUUCAGUCUAAUAUUGGUGAUCAACUCCAUGCAAGCACAAGUAAUACAUGUAUCUAUAGAAUUCCUACAUACAUAUCUACAAACUUCAAGAAUUCCUAAUCCCUUUUUCACUAUGUUUUGCAGCUGCAAUUUCUCCACAACAUGUUCAACCACAAGUUGACUUGUAUCCUAACUUCCAAGAAGCAUCUGAUGCAUUUAAAGCAGGUAUUGAACCAUAAAUUCAUUAGAAUUACAUUUUAUGCAAAAUUUCAAUAAUUUAUACCUAAACUACAUAUUCUUACAUAUAUCUACAAUUCUCAUAUCCAAUUAUUCAUUCAAGCUGAGGUUUCAACAGAACAUGUAUAAGGAAAUGUUGAGGAAGAAUCACUAAUUGAUGAAGUAGCUGUGGCACAACAAGCAGGUAAUGUAAUCUCUAAAUUCUUUUGUGACUCCAUAUAUUGUUCAAAACUACAUAGCUCUGCACUUAUCUAAAGAAGGUGAAGUUAAUCCAGGGGGUGUGCCAGCAAUGGUUGAGGAUGAACCAGCAAUCCAGGAAGGAUCUAAGGUAGCAAAAGAAGGUAUUGUUUCAUAAUAUACUUUUUUACAUAAAUUAGUUGCUUAUACAAUAGUAUAAUGAGGUUAAUUUUGUGAUUUUAUAUGUAAUAGAUAUUGAAGAUAACAUUCCACAGCCGCCAAUACAUGGUGUAACAGUGACUGAAGUUGUUCAGGAAGGCAUUGAUAAAAAAGAUGAGAUUGAAGUUGUUCCUGAAGUCAUUGAAAACAAAGGUAUGACAUUGGAUGACUUUGAGCUUCCAGAAAACUUAUCACAGUUGGUCAUGUAUGGCGAGACCAUACCAGAUGAAUCAACCCCCUUUUCAUCCAGGAAGAACAAGGAUACCGGGAAAACAUGCACGCUCACCAUUCACACCUCUGUGUAAUUCUAGAGGAAGCACAUCUAUUGGUCCUAAAUAUUUUUACCUCAAGCACCCCUUCACAAGUGUCAUAGGUGAAGAUGUAGAUCCUGAAUUGAUAGAAAGGUUCACCACCUGGUUAUACUUUCGCAGUGACAAAGUAUCUAGAAGGCAUGAUUGCUUAAAUUUACACUGUCUGUUCACCUUUUCAUAUGUUAAAGUUGCACCUGGUUAUACUUUCGCAGUGACAAAGCUUCUAGGAGGUAUGAUUGCUUAAAUUAACACUGUCUGUUCACCUUUUUAUACUUCAAAGUUGUAAUUAAUUUUGUCAAUUGUUUAUAUUUGAUUCAUUCUUUCGUUAUUACAGGAGGAAAGAUUACUUUUCCAAGAAGGAUAACCAAAUCAAUCCUUGUCUGGAUUUUGGUUGUGAAAAGAUUGAUAAGAAGGACUGGUUCUAUGCCUUUGCUCACCCCGGACAAGUCAUCAAUAACUCAGUAAGUAUACAAUGUCUACAAUAUUGACCAUAUCCUUUUUUCCUUCAACUGUGUUGUGUAAUUGUUGUUUUGUCUUUAUUUAUGAUGUGUAACCCGGACAAGUCAUCAAUAACUCAAUAUAGCAUAUAUAUUUUACUAUAUUUAGUCUUCAUCUGUCAAAUUUUGCUUUUUACGGACCUUAUGUAUCAUAUGUGAUCAUGCCAUUGUUUACAAAUUGGAAUUUUUAUAAUUUUGACUGAAUUGUAAUCUUUGUGUACCACAACUGUAGUUACCUUGUAGUAAUAUUAUAGACCUUGUGAUUCUUCCUAUUAAUAUUAACUCUAGGUUAUUGGGACCUUAAGUGAGGUGCUAUGUUUCUUUUGUUCCUCUGUAUAGUGAAUAAAUGUAGUUAAUGUGUAGUUGUUUUAUACCCCGAUGGGUCAAUUGUAGAUUUAGUACUUGUUCACUAUUGGUUCAUCCUAACUACAAUUAAAUUAUAUUUGGUGAGGUACUUGGACUAACUGUUAUAUUUCUGUAGUUGCAGUGUAGUUAAAGUGCAUCAAUAUUUUUAGAUUUUUUCAUAAAUUCCAAUUGUAAUUAAUAUGUAGCUGCUUUGUAUAUAAUUGUGGUUAGAAUGUGGCUUAUUGUAUAUUGCACUUCUAUUUUGGCGCACAUUGAUGUUAUGAUAUAAUAUUUGAGAAAAAGAUGCAAAUAUGGCCCCAACACCAUACUAGGGUUACAACAACCGUUGCUUGUUCAAGAUAAAGAUUGAAAGAAUCUAUGACAAGUUCAUAAAUUCUCCACCGGAACAAAGGAAUUUGGUUGUUAAAGCCGAGGAUGAUAUUG